Molecule: long non-coding RNA, 1318 nt
Filed under: Parus major (Great Tit)
Lineage: Eukaryota; Metazoa; Chordata; Aves; Passeriformes; Paridae
Description: lncRNA (ENSPMJG00000011919.1)
Source: RNAcentral
UUUCUCUAGGGAUGAUAACAGCAAGGCUUUUUCCCUCUGCAAAUAUAUACGACUUUGCUGAAUUAAUAGAAAUAUGGAAAAGGAGGACCAGGAUUCAGGAAUGAUGUGGAGUGAAUUCAGAGGAGGAUGUAUUGUAUAAAACAAAGCCUUUCUUCCAGUCACUCUGGAGAACAACACUGUGUGAGAACAGUGCUGUGCUUUAAAUCAUUAAAGAUAACUUCUUGCCAGGUAAUGCGAGAUAAUGAUAGCACAUAAUAUUCUUCUCUUGCUGCUUCUUUCUCAUGUAUUGAUUGGCUCUAUCCUGUAGGUGUGAUAGACCAGGGUGCUUACCCUCUAUUCCUCUGAGCACUUUGAAGAAACUACUACAUUUGUCAAAUGACCAAAAAAAAUCAUCUUAAGAGAGUCAAUUGAGAGACAUCAAAAGCAACUGGAAAACCAUCCCAGGCAAUGUUACACAAACCCUUCUGCCCCGUGCAGCAGCUGGAGCUGCAGUGUUUGUGCCGUGGCUCCAGCUGCUCUUCAGCUGCACAGGGAGCACUUCCCAAGCCUGGCUCUCAGCACCACAGCCUGCUCUGUGACAGAGAAACAGCUAUUGGAGCUUCCUGCAGCAAGUGGCACUUCUCCACCCGAAGGUUUCCAGAGUGGCACAGAAGUGCAAGUCACAUCUGGAAUGUCCUCUAACAAUCUCAAGACUUUUUCAGAAGGAAACAUAUUCUGCAAUGUGACACAGCAAAGGAGAUAUCCAAGAGAUUGAUUUCAGAUUGUGAAGGCAUUCAACAUGCAUGUUUUUAAGGUAAAAAUACCUCCAGCCUCUUUUGGUUCCUAUAUAAUUUUGCAGGUACCUCUUUCCAAUCUCAAGGAAAUCACCUGUUUUGUGAACCACAGAUGCUGCUAAAAUUGAUGUGAAAAACGGUGGUCCAGAAAUUAUCUGUGUGAGGAAUUUCUUUAAAAUGCCAGCGCUGUUCUAUGGUAACAAAUUGUAUCAAAACUGAACACAGGGGUGAUGCUAAAUAUCCUGCUGCUUAAAGAAAUAUCUUUUAAACUGCUGUCUUACAGUGCUUACCACUGCAGGUUGAAAACAUUUGUGCAAAAAUAUGAAUUUACCAUGGCUCUUGUAAACCAUGACAAAAGGCUGUGCUGUGGCAGGAAAAGUAACAUGGAUAGACUUUCAAUGUCUUAAAGUCAGUAAUACUCUUAAUAUGGUGACUGAGCACUCUAAUCUCUGGCUUGGGAUAACAUUUGCCUUAAUUACUUGUGGAUCAUCUGUCUCAAAGUGCUGACUUGUUCUUGAAAACAUAAGGUUGGUGAUGCGGUGAAA